This 564-nucleotide ribosomal RNA is filed under the name Acinetobacter baumannii. Its description in RNAcentral is "bacterial SSU rRNA". It matches the Rfam family "Archaeal small subunit ribosomal RNA", at positions 317 to 882 of the family's 1478-position model. The record is from RNAcentral. Lineage: Bacteria; Pseudomonadati; Pseudomonadota; Gammaproteobacteria; Moraxellales; Moraxellaceae.
CAGAUCCCUAUGGGAUGCAGCAGGCGCGAAAACUUCACACUGCAGGAAACUGUGAUGAGGGAACUCCAAGUGACUGCACAUUGUGUAGCCUUUUCUUUACUAUUAAUCGGUAUUGGAAUAAGGGCUGGGAAAGACCGGUGCCAGCCGCCGCGGUAAUACCGGCAGCUCAAGUGGUAGCCGCGAUUAUUGGGCCUAAAACGUUCGUAGCCGGAUAAGUAAGUCUUUGGUUAAAUCCUGCGACUCAACCGUGGGAAUUCUAGAGAUACUGCUUGUCUUGAGACCGGGAGAGGUUGGAGGUACUCCCAGGGUAGGGGUGAAAUCCUGUAAUCCUAGGGGGACCACCUGUGGCGAAGGCGUCCAACUGGAACGGGUCUGACGGUGAGGGACGAAACCUAGGGGAGCGAGCCGGAUUAGAUACCCGGGUAGUCCUAGGCGUAAAUGAUGCGAGUUAAGUGUGGGGGCAUCUACGAGAUGGCCCUGUGCUGUAGGGUAGCCGUUAAACUCGCUGCCUGGGGAGUACGGUCGCAAGGCUGAAACUUAAAGGAAUUGGCGGGGGAGCACUGC